RNAcentral lists this transfer RNA (72 nucleotides) under Ovis aries (sheep). It matches the Rfam family "tRNA". Rfam says of the family: Transfer RNA (tRNA) molecules are approximately 80 nucleotides in length. Their secondary structure includes four short double-helical elements and three loops (D, anti-codon, and T loops). Lineage: Eukaryota; Metazoa; Chordata; Mammalia; Artiodactyla; Bovidae. The record is from Rfam by way of RNAcentral.
UCUCUGGUGGCUCAGAUGGUAAAGCAUCUGCCUACAAUGCAGGAGACCCAGGUUCAAUUCCUGGGUCGGGAA